This 1190-nucleotide ribosomal RNA is filed under the name Megamelus sp. DEL055. RNAcentral describes it as "SSU rRNA". It matches the Rfam family "Eukaryotic small subunit ribosomal RNA", at positions 723 to 1773 of the family's 1831-position model. The record is from RNAcentral. Lineage: Eukaryota; Metazoa; Arthropoda; Insecta; Hemiptera; Delphacidae.
CUGUGUCCUUCGACGCCGGUUCACCGCCUGUCGGUGCCAACUGGCGUUUUGCGGGACGUCCUGUCGGUGGCGUGUCAGGAAUCUUAGUUGGGCUCUGUUCAGCUUCGAUUUCUGGCCGCUUUCAUAAUCCCGUCGCGGUGCUCUUAAACGAGUGUCGAGGCGGGCCGGCACGUUUACUUUGAACAAAUUAGAGUGCUUCAAGCAGGCUUGUCAUGCCUGUAUACUGUGUGCAUGGAAUAAUGGAAUAGGACCUCGGUUCUAUUUUGUUGGUUUCCGGAAUCUGAGGUAAUGAUCAAUGGGGACAGGCGGGGGCAUUCGUAUUGCGACGUUAGAGGUGAAAUUCUUGGAUCGUCGCAAGACGGACCGAAGCGAAAGCAUUUGCCAAGUAUGUUCCCGUCGAUCAAGAACGAAAGUUAGAGGUUCGAAGGCGAUCAGAUACCGCCCUAGUUCUAACCAUAAACAAUGCCUGCCAGCGAUCCGCCGGCGUCCCUCCGAUGACCCGGCGGGCAGCUUCCGGGAAACCAGAGCUUUUGGGUUCCGGGGGAAGUAUGGUUGCAAAGCUGAAACUUAAAGGAAUUGACGGAAGGGCACCACCAGGAGUGGAGCCUGCGGCUUAAUUUGACUCAACACGGGAAAACUCACCAGGCCCGGACACCGGAAGGAUUGACAGAUUGAUAGCUCUUUCUUGAUUCGGUGGGUGGUGGUGCAUGGCCGUUCUUAGUUGGUGGAGCGAUUUGUCUGGUUAAUUCCGAUAACGAACGAGACUCUAGCCUACUAACUAGACGUAUCUGGUAUCAGCAAUCGUGCUACCAGCGAUCAUAUCUCUUCUUAGAGGGACAGGCGGCUUCUAGCCGCACGAGACUGAGCAAUAACAGGUCUGUGAUGCCCUUAGAUGUCCUGGGCCGCACGCGCGCUACACUGAAGGAAUCAGCGUGUCUUCCCUGUCCGAAAGGACCGGGUAACCCGCUGAACCUCCUUCGUGCUUGGGAUUGGGGCUUGCAAUUGUUCCCCAUGAACGAGGAAUUCCCAGUAAGCGCGAGUCAUAAGCUCGCGUUGAUUACGUCCCUGCCCUUUGUACACACCGCCCGUCGCUACUACCGAUUGAAUGAUUUAGUGAGGUCUUCGGACCGGUGCGCGGAGGCGGUUUACCGCUCCCGAUGUUGUCGGAAAGAUGACCAAACUUGAUCAUU